RNAcentral lists this ribosomal RNA (625 nucleotides) under uncultured bacterium. Its description in RNAcentral is "bacterial SSU rRNA". It matches the Rfam family "Bacterial small subunit ribosomal RNA", at positions 243 to 863 of the family's 1533-position model. The record is from RNAcentral.
AGCUGGUUGGUGAGGUAAGAGCCCACCAAGGCGAUGAUGGGUAGCCGGCCUGAGAGGGUGUACGGCCACACUGGGACUGAGAUACGGCCCAGACUCCUACGGGAGGCAGCAGCUAAGAAUAUUCCGCAAUGGACGAAAGUCUGACGGAGCGACGCCGCGUGGAUGAAGAAGGCCGAAAGGUUGUAAAGUUCUUUUGUUGGGGAAGAAUAACCAUGGGAGGGAAUGCCCGUGGGAUGACAUGAACCGACGAAUAAGCCCCGGCUAACUAUGUGCCAGCAGCCGCGGUAACACGUAGGGGGCGAGCGUUGUUCGGAAUUACUGGGCGUAAAGGGCAUGUAGGCGGUCUUGUAAGCUUGGCGUGAAAGACCACGGCUCAACCGUGGGAUUGCGUUGAGAACUGCGAGGCUUGAGUGACGGAGAGGGAGCUAGAAUUCCUGGUGUAGGGGUGGAAUCUGUAGAGAUCAGGAAGAAUACCAAUGGCGAAGGCAAGCUCCUGGCCGAUGACUGACGCUGAGGUGCGAAAGUGUGGGGAUCAAACAGGAUUAGAUACCCUGGUAGUCCACACUGUAAACGAUGUGCACUAGGUGCUGGUACGGAUGUAUCAGUGCCGUAGCUAACGUGAUAA